CCGCUGCCUCCUCGUCCUCCCGCCCUGCGGGGAAGUGAAACCAUCCCCCUUUCCCCUCCCUCCCUCCUCCCUCCCCCCAGGGCUCCGAGCGCCCCGAUCCCACAGGGGGGAAGCGAAACCCGCUGUGGGGUGUUGGGAUUUUUCCACGGGGCAGGAGCUGCUGCUCCAGGGGUUCCCAGGGGGUGGGAAUUCCAUGGACACAGCGGGAAAGAUCGGAGCAAAAAAGGGGUGUGGUGGCUGCGGUGGUUUAUUCACCAAAAUAAAGGGAUUUACGCCGAUUUUAGGACAUUGAUCCCACUGGAAAAGGGGGAUUUGUAGGGAUUUGGGAGGUUUUGUGGAGCUCAAGGGGUGGGAAUUCCACAGGCGGGGAAGGAAAUACUGGAGGAAAAAAGGGGUUUGGUGACCACGGUGGUUUAUUCACCAAAAUAAAGGGAUUUAUGCCAAUUUUAGGACAUCAAUCCCACUGGAAAAGGGGGAUUUGUAGGGAUUUGGGAGGUUUUGGGGAGCUGCAGCUCAAGGGGUGGGAAUUCCAUGGACACAGCGGGAAAGAUCGGAGCAAAAAAAGGGGUUUGGUGACCAUGGUGGUUUAUUCACCAAAAUAAAGGGAUUUAUGCCAAUUUUAGGACAUUGAUCCCAUGGGAAAAGGGGGAUUUGUAGGGAUUUGGGAGGUUUU
Long non-coding RNA from Corvus hawaiiensis (hawaiian crow), 673 nucleotides. RefSeq lists it as uncharacterized. Lineage: Eukaryota; Metazoa; Chordata; Aves; Passeriformes; Corvidae. The record is from RefSeq and is a predicted model, not a curated record. The transcript is spliced from 3 exons.